UUCAUAAGUGUUUAAACAGGUGCUGUCCUAAUCGGACAAGCAUAAUAGGGAAAACGGUUAAAUUCCGUUGCGGUCCCGCCACUGUAAUUGUGAGAAACCUAAUUGAUCUGCCACUGUGAAAACGGGAAGGCGUUAGGGGACGAUGAUCAAGAGCCAGGAGACCUGCCUGUUUUGUACAUGACAU
RNAcentral lists this non-coding RNA (184 nucleotides) under Fictibacillus arsenicus. The record is from RNAcentral. Lineage: Bacteria; Bacillati; Bacillota; Bacilli; Caryophanales; Fictibacillaceae.